GCAACGAGCGCAACCCUGCUGCCAGUUGCCAACGGGUGAAGCCGGGCACUCUGGCGGACUGCCAUCGACAAGAUGGAGGAAGGUGGGGAUGACGUCAAGUCAUCAUGGCCCUUAUGUCCAGGGCGACACACGUGCUACAAUGGCCGGCACAGCGGGAGGCGAGGCAGUGAUGCCAAGCGGAUCCCUUAAAGCCGGUCUACAGUUCGGAUUGAAGUCUGCAACUCGACUUCAUGAAGCUGGAAUCGCUAGUAAUCGCAGAUCAGCCAAGCUGCGGUGAAUACGUUCCCGGGCCUU
This 294-nucleotide ribosomal RNA is filed under the name uncultured Synergistaceae bacterium. RNAcentral's name for it is "partial 16S ribosomal RNA". It matches the Rfam family "Bacterial small subunit ribosomal RNA", at positions 1089 to 1382 of the family's 1533-position model. The record is from RNAcentral. Lineage: Bacteria; Thermotogati; Synergistota; Synergistia; Synergistales; Synergistaceae.